UGGGGAAUAUUGGACAAUGGGGGAAACCCUGAUCCAGCGACGCCGCGUGUGUGAAGAAGGCCUUCGGGUUGUAAAGCACUUUCAGCGAGGAGGAAGGGAGUUGUGUUAAUAGCACAGCUUCUUGACGUUACUCGCAGAAGAAGCACCGGCUAACUCUGUGCCAGCAGCCGCGGUAAUACAGAGGGUGCAAGCGUUAAUCGGAAUUACUGGGCGUAAAGCGCACGUAGGCGGUUUUUAAGUCAGAUGUGAAAGCCCCGGGCUCAACCUGGGAAUUGCAUUUGAAACUGGAAAACUAGAGUGUGUGAGAGGGGGGUAGAAUUCCAAGUGUAGCGGUGAAAUGCGUAGAGAUUUGGAGGAAUACCAGUGGCGAAGGCGGCCCCCUGGCACAACACUGACGCUCAGGUGCGAAAGCGUGGGUAGCGAACAGGAUUAGAUACCCAUGUAGUCCCUGAGCGGGCUGGCAAGGCGCAU
Molecule: ribosomal RNA, 471 nt
Filed under: uncultured bacterium
Lineage: Bacteria
Description: bacterial SSU rRNA
Rfam family: Bacterial small subunit ribosomal RNA
Source: RNAcentral